RNAcentral lists this ribosomal RNA (584 nucleotides) under uncultured bacterium. RNAcentral's name for it is "partial 16S ribosomal RNA". It matches the Rfam family "Bacterial small subunit ribosomal RNA", at positions 355 to 1375 of the family's 1533-position model. The record is from RNAcentral.
UGGGGAAUUUUGGACAAUGGGCGAAAGCCUGAUCCAGCAAUGCCGCGUGUGUGAAGAAGGCCUUCGGGUUGUAAAGCACUUUUGUCCGGAAAGAAAUCCUUGGCUCUAAUACAGUCGGGGGAUGACGGUACCGGAAGAAUAAGCACCGGCUAACUACGUGCCAGCAGCCGCGGUAAUACGUAGGGUGCAAGCGUUAAUCGGAAUUACUGGGCGUAAGCGUGCGCAGGCGGUUUGCUAAGACCGAUGUGAAAUCCCCGGGCUCAACCUGGGAACUGCAUUGGUGACUGGCAGGCUAGAGUAUGGCAGAGGGGGUAGAAUUCCACGUGUAGCAGUGAAAUGCGUAGAGAUGUGGAGGAAUACCGAUGGCGAAGGCAGCCCCCUGGGCCAAUACUGACGCUCAUGCACGAAAGCGUGGGGAGCAAACAGGAUUAGAUACCCUGGUAGUCCACGCCCUAAACGAUGUCAACUAGUUGUUGGGGACUUCAUUUCCUUAGUAACGUAGCUAACGCGUGAAGUUGACCGCCUGGGGAGUACGGUCGCAAGAUUAAAACUCAAAUGAAUUGACGGGGUCAUAGCUGUUUCCU